This is a long non-coding RNA of Cyprinus carpio carpio, 632 nucleotides long. The record is from Ensembl. NCBI's taxonomy places the organism in Eukaryota, Metazoa, Chordata, Actinopteri, Cypriniformes, Cyprinidae.
GUCCUGGGAAUCCGGAGUUAUAAAAAUAUCACAUAUUGGUAUGCUGCGCAGACAGAUCCAGGUAUAAUUUAAGAUGUGCACUCUCAGUAUUCACUGACAUCAGCCCUCCCACAUUCCCAAAGGUCUCUCGCUCUUCUGUGGAAAGUCGCGAGCGCACAUUCACGUGGCGGUGUGCUCUAGUUACCACAGCAACCGGGCCGAGGCAGUUUAUUGUAUAUUCCGCGCACAGUUCCCGACUCCUCCGUCCUCAACAAGUCAAAGACACUUUUCCCCCGUUUAAUUCUGUACUAAAACCACGAAAAGAGUUAUUUUCGCCAUUGGACGCAUCUGGAAUCUCAUAGACGAGCGUCAAUCCAAAAACACCAGCCUCCUCAAUGUAAACAACAACGAUGACGAUGCCACAAAGUGUAUUGACACCAUCUGUCAGAGCUCCAGCCGGUGCCUGAGGAUGAUCUCUUCAGACCAGUGAGCAUCCCCCUGACCUGGACAGACACUUACCGCCAAGCGAAAAGCCCAAAAAGGUGUGGUGAGCUAUGACCAUAAGAUGGAUAGCCGAGGAUGGCAUGGAAACAUCAUUAUCUGUGACCUUUGGUUGACUUGAACAUAUAAAAAAAGAAAGAAGGGAAAAAAAU